This is a non-coding RNA of Odocoileus virginianus texanus, 985 nucleotides long. The record is from RefSeq and is a predicted model, not a curated record. Lineage: Eukaryota; Metazoa; Chordata; Mammalia; Artiodactyla; Cervidae.
GCAUGCGCCCUUCAAGGCCGACGCGGCCGGCGGGUGCUGUGCGGCGAGAGUUGGUAGCAGCGUCCCACCUAACCAGAAUUGGAAGGACACGGACAAGACGGGUCCGUGGGGGCGUCACUCCGUGCCCUGCCCUGGAGUCGGUGGCGCUUUCUGACUCGCGGAACCUGGGCGUGGGAGCUCUCGUUUGGGAUGGAGUUUCCGUAAAGCCUGGAUUGCUGACUUGACUACCUAACUCUGACUGCCUGGAACAACGAGAGCCUCUCUGCCCAUGUUAUGAUAGUCUUCACUGUGUUUCCUCCUGUGUUUCGAUCAUCUUUGUGUCUGUGCUGCUGAGGCCUGUCUCACCUCCCAGGGAGAAGCCACUCAGGAAACUGGAUCCCUGUCUGCAUUCCUCCACUGGGAUGGAAAAACAGAACUGAAGAGGAAGGAAGGAAGGAAGCGCGACGAAACAGGUUUCCCUCCUGGCUGAGGUUUGUCAGCACCACCCACUAACACGAGCAAUAAGGCAGCUCCCCUAGCAAGCCGCAGGCUGGUAUGAGGCUGGCUACAAAUAAGAAACCCGAUCGAUCUGUGUCCUGCUCAGCAGCCCAUCUGGACUGGCCAGGACACUUUUGUUUGUGUACUAGUUUCUUCAGAUGAGCCAUGCAUUUGGUAGAGUAGGAAAAGGGAGCAAAACUGAAAGGUAUAGAACUUGCUGGAGGCCUCAUCUGCCUAAUUCCUUUCCUGUUGCACUGUGCGAAUCUUUACUUGCAUUCUGUGAAAAGAACCAGGGGGAAAAAAAAUCAUCAGAAAUGUUUAUCACCAACCUAGCCCCACCGCCCAUGCAGUGCUCUCAAGAAAGCUCAUUAAGCCCCAUUGCUAUUAGAGUUAUGUGCUUCCAAAGGCUUGUUGUGACAAGAAAAAAAUAAUGAAGACAUGCUUUCUCCAAGUUGUAAGUGCCCAAGUCAAAAUACACUGCUUUUCCUUGUCCCUCUGCCUUCCCUCA